UUGCUCGCUUCAGCAGUACAUAUACUAAAAUUGGUACAAUAAAGAGAAAAUUAGCAUGGCCCCUGUGCAAGGAUGACACACAAAUUUGUGAAGCAUUAUUUAUUUUU
Tupaia belangeri (northern tree shrew) is the source of this 107-nucleotide small nuclear RNA. NCBI's taxonomy places the organism in Eukaryota, Metazoa, Chordata, Mammalia, Scandentia, Tupaiidae. The record is from Ensembl.